This 696-nucleotide ribosomal RNA is filed under the name uncultured bacterium. RNAcentral describes it as "bacterial SSU rRNA". It matches the Rfam family "Bacterial small subunit ribosomal RNA", at positions 18 to 733 of the family's 1533-position model. The record is from RNAcentral.
CAUGGCUCUGAAUGAACGUGGGCGGCGUGGAUUAGGCAUGCAAGUCGAGCGCUCAUAGCAAUAUGCGAGCGGCGAACGGCGUAAGAAUUCAUAAGAACGUACCCUCAGGACGAGGAUAGCUACGGGAAACUGUAGUUAAUCACUGAUGAUCUACGCGGAGCAAAUGUGUGAUUCCGCCUGAGGAGCGGUCUAUCCGAUAUUAGCUAGUUGGCGGGGUAAUGGCCUACCAAGGCGAAGAUGUCUAGGGGCAGUGAGAGCAUGGCCCCCACGACCGGAACUGAGAUACUGUCCGGACACCUACGGUUGGCUACAGUCGAGAAUCUUCCCCAAUGGACGAAAGUCCGACGGAGCGACGCCGCGUGCGGGAGGAAGGCCCUUGGGUUGUAAACCGCUUUCGGAGGGGAUGAAAUCCUCGAGGGUUCUCCCUCGAGGUCGACCGAGCCUCAAAAGACGCACGGGCUAAGUACGUCCCAGCAGCCGCGGUAACACGUACUGUGCGAACGUUUUUUGGAAUCACUGGGCCUAAAGGGUGCGUAGGCGGCGAUUCAAGUCAGAUGUGAAAUCCCUGAGAUCAACUGAGGCAUUGCGUUUGAAACAGAAUUUAUAGAGUAUUUCAGGGGUGUGCGGAACCCGCAGUGGAGCGGUGAAAUGUGUUGAUAUUGGCAGGAACACCGGAGGCGAAAGCGGCACACUGGG